RNAcentral lists this ribosomal RNA (721 nucleotides) under Ampittia dioscorides. RNAcentral describes it as "12S ribosomal RNA". Lineage: Eukaryota; Metazoa; Arthropoda; Insecta; Lepidoptera; Hesperiidae. The record is from RNAcentral.
UUCUUUCUAGAAACACUUUCCAGUACUCCUACUUUGUUACGACUUAUUCCAAUUUUAAAAUGAAAGCGACGGGCAAUAUGUACAUAAUUCAAUUUUUAAUCAUUUUAAAAAAUUAUUUAAAAUUACAUUUAAAUCCACUUUUAUUAAAUUAUUACAAAAAAAAAUUCAUUUAAAUAAAUUUAUUGUAAUCCAUUAUAUUCUUAAUUAUAAUCUGCAUCUUGAUUUGAAUUAAUUUUUAUUUUUAAUUUUUAAAUAUUAUUUUUAUUUAAAAAUAUUUUUUUAACAACGAUAUACAAAAUAUUAAAUUAAGUAAAUUUAUUCGUGGAAUAUCAAUUAUUAAACAGAUUCCUCUAAAUGAACUAAAUUACCGCCAAAUUAUUUAAGUUCCAAUAAUUAUUUAUCUACUAUUUUAGUUUUUAUUUAAAAUUUAAAAUAAUAGGGUAUCUAAUCCUAGUUUUUUUCUUAAAUUUAUUAGAUUAUAAAUAAAUUAUAAAUUUUAUUUAAAUUAAAAUUUUACUUAAUAAUUUAAUAUUUAAUUUAAAAUAAUUACUUAUAUUAACUAUUUCUAAAAAAAUUUAUUUUAAUUUUUGUAUAACCGCAACUGCUGGCACAAAAUUUGUUAUUAAAUUUUAAUAUUACUAAAUCUUAAUUUCUUAAAUUUUUAAUUUUAAUUACUACUAAUCAUUUUAACUAUAUUAUUAAAAUAAUUAAAAAUUAAUAC